AAAGAAUUAGGUUAAAAACCAUUAAAAUGUCAUUUUAAAAUUAUUUAUUAUAAUUAAAUAUUCUUUA
This 67-nucleotide transfer RNA is filed under the name Diodontus tristis. RNAcentral describes it as "tRNA-Asp". The record is from RNAcentral. RNAcentral also lists the same sequence under 1 other name. Lineage: Eukaryota; Metazoa; Arthropoda; Insecta; Hymenoptera; Crabronidae.